RNAcentral lists this ribosomal RNA (371 nucleotides) under uncultured bacterium. RNAcentral's name for it is "bacterial SSU rRNA". It matches the Rfam family "Bacterial small subunit ribosomal RNA", at positions 521 to 896 of the family's 1533-position model. The record is from RNAcentral.
UAAUACGGAGGGAGCUAGCGUUGUUCGGAAUUACUGGGCGUAAAGAGCAUGUAGGCGGUUUAGUAAGUUGGAAGUGAAAGCCCAGGGCUCAACCCUGGAACUGCUUUCGAAACUGCUAAACUAGAGUUCGAUAGGGGGUGGUGGAAUUCCUAGUGUAGAGGUGAAAUUCUUAGAUAUUAGGAGGAACACCGGUGGCGAAGGCGGCCAUCUGGAUCGAUACUGACGCUGAGAUGCGAAAGCGUGGGGAGCAAACAGGAUUAGAUACCCUGGUAGUCCACGCCGUAAACGAUGAGUGCUAGAUAUCAGAGAAAUCUUUGGUGUCGGAGCUAACGCAUUAAGCACUCCGCCUGGGGAGUACGGUCGCAAGAUUA